This 301-nucleotide ribosomal RNA is filed under the name uncultured bacterium. RNAcentral's name for it is "partial 16S ribosomal RNA". It matches the Rfam family "Bacterial small subunit ribosomal RNA", at positions 509 to 808 of the family's 1533-position model. The record is from RNAcentral.
CAGUCGCCACGGUAAUACGGAGGGCGCGAGCGUUACCCGGAUUUACUGGGCGUAAGGGCGUGUAGGCGGCCUGGGGCGUCCCAUGUGAAAGGCCACGGCUCAACCGUGGAGGAGCGUGGGAUACGCUCAGGCUAGAGGGUGGGAGAGGGUGGUGGAAUUUCCGGAGUAGCGGUGAAAUGCGCAGAUACCGGGAGGAACGCCGAUGGCGAAGGCAGCCACCUGGUCCACUUCUGACGCUGAGGCGCGAAAGCGUGGGGAGCAAACCGGAUUAGAUACCCCCGUAGUCCCUGUCUCUUAUACA